RNAcentral lists this ribosomal RNA (952 nucleotides) under Micrococcus luteus. Its description in RNAcentral is "bacterial SSU rRNA". It matches the Rfam family "Bacterial small subunit ribosomal RNA", at positions 498 to 1444 of the family's 1533-position model. Lineage: Bacteria; Bacillati; Actinomycetota; Actinomycetes; Micrococcales; Micrococcaceae. The record is from RNAcentral.
UAACUACGUGGCAGCAGGCGGCGGUAAUACGUAGGGUGCGAGCGUUAUCCGGAAUUAUUGGGCGUAAAGAGCUCGUAGGCGGUUUGUCGCGUCUGUCGUGAAAGUCCGGGGCUUAACCCCGGAUCUGCGGUGGGUACGGGCAGACUAGAGUGCAGUAGGGGAGACUGGAAUUCCUGGUGUAGCGGUGGAAUGCGCAGAUAUCAGGAGGAACACCGAUGGCGAAGGCAGGUCUCUGGGCUGUAACUGACGCUGAGGAGCGAAAGCAUGGGGAGCGAACAGGAUUAGAUACCCUGGUAGUCCAUGCCGUAAACGUUGGGCACUAGGUGUGGGGACCAUUCCACGGUUUCCGCGCCGCAGCUAACGCAUUAAGUGCCCCGCCUGGGGAGUACGGCCGCAAGGCUAAAACUCAAAGGAAUUGACGGGGGCCCGCACAAGCGGCGGAGCAUGCGGAUUAAUUCGAUGCAACGCGAAGAACCUUACCAAGGCUUGACAUGUUCUCGAUCGCCGUAGAGAUACGGUUUCCCCUUUGGGGCGGGUUCACAGGUGGUGCAUGGUUGUCGUCAGCUCGUGUCGUGAGAUGUUGGGUUAAGUCCCGCAACGAGCGCAACCCUCGUUCCAUGUUGCCAGCACGUCGUGGUGGGGACUCAUGGGAGACUGCCGGGGUCAACUCGGAGGAAGGUGAGGACGACGUCAAAUCAUCAUGCCCCUUAUGUCUUGGGCUUCACGCAUGCUACAAUGGCCGGUACAAUGGGUUGCGAUACUGUGAGGUGGAGCUAAUCCCAAAAAGCCGGUCUCAGUUCGGAUUGGGGUCUGCAACUCGACCCCAUGAAGUCGGAGUCGCUAGUAAUCGCAGAUCAGCAACGCUGCGGUGAAUACGUUCCCGGGCCUUGUACACACCGCCCGUCAAGUCACGAAAGUUGGUAACACCCGAAGCCGGUGGCCUAACCCUUGU